UACCAGCACCCCGAGUGGUCGGGACGUUUAUUGGGCCUAAAGCAUCCGUAGCCGGUUCUACAAGUCUUCCGUUAAAUCCAGCUGCUUAACAGAUGGGCUGCGGAAGAUACUAUGGAGCUAGGAGGCGGGAGAGGCAAGCGGUACUCGAUGGGUAGGGGUAAAAAUCCGUUGAUCCAUUGAAGACCACCAGUGGCGAAGGCGGCUUGCCAGAACGCGCUCGACGGUGAGGGAUGAAAGCUGGGGGGAGCAAACCGG
Molecule: ribosomal RNA, 255 nt
Filed under: uncultured bacterium
Lineage: Bacteria
Description: partial 16S ribosomal RNA
Rfam family: Archaeal small subunit ribosomal RNA
Source: RNAcentral